This is a long non-coding RNA of Limulus polyphemus (Atlantic horseshoe crab), 523 nucleotides long. RefSeq lists it as uncharacterized. The record is from RefSeq and is a predicted model, not a curated record. NCBI's taxonomy places the organism in Eukaryota, Metazoa, Arthropoda, Merostomata, Xiphosura, Limulidae. The transcript is spliced from 3 exons.
CACAAGAAACGAACUGUAAAGAUGGAAUAAACAAUGAUGGAGGUACUAGUAAUCUUGUUAUUAGGUAGGAUAGACCCACAAGAAACGAACUGUAAACAUGGAAUAAACAAUGAUGGAGGUACUAGUAAUCUUGUUAUUAGGUAGAUAGACCCACAAGAAACGAACUGUAAAGAUGGAGUAGACAAUGAUGGAGACGGUUUGACUGACUGUGCCGAUAGCGAGUGCUGUAGACACGAGGUGUGUAAGGACAACGUACUGUGUAUGUCAUCUCCCGACCCUCUAGAUAUUCUCCUCAGAAAACAGCCGCCGGCUGUUACUGCAUCUUUUUACCAGAAAAUGAAAUUUUUGAUAGAUGAAGACAGCGUUCAGAACUAUCCACACAGAGACGAGUUUUCGGAAAGUCGUGUUUCCGUCAUCCGUGGUCAAGUGGUCAGUAAACAAGGAGAUGGGCUGACCGGAGUUCGAGUUGGUGUUGCUGCCGGCCACCAUUUUGGAUUCACACUCACUCGGCAAGAUGGCUGGU